GGGUCAGUAGGUUGGUCGUGCCACCGGUACGUACUGGUCUCACUGAUUCCUCCUUCCUGAAAAACCGUAAUGCCAUUAAUUUGGUGUUGCGGGGAAACAGGACUGUUACUUUGAAAAAAUUAGAGUGUUUAAAGCAAGCUAACGCUUGAAUACAUUAGCAUGGAAUAAUGAAAUAGGACGAUCGAUCCUAUUUUGUUGGUUUCUAGGAUUGACGUA
This 216-nucleotide ribosomal RNA is filed under the name Glomeromycotina sp. RNAcentral's name for it is "partial small subunit ribosomal RNA". The stretch from base 40 to 216 matches the Rfam family "Eukaryotic small subunit ribosomal RNA", at positions 686 to 864 of the family's 1831-position model. The record is from RNAcentral. Lineage: Eukaryota; Fungi; Glomeromycota.